This 783-nucleotide ribosomal RNA is filed under the name Triticum aestivum (bread wheat). RNAcentral's name for it is "partial small subunit ribosomal RNA". Lineage: Eukaryota; Viridiplantae; Streptophyta; Magnoliopsida; Poales; Poaceae. The record is from RNAcentral.
AUGGACGAUCAGAGUUAUUUUGAACUUUUGCAAAGUGAUGUCGGAUUGAAUGAUUUGCACUGGACCGAAGAAGAACAAAUGGAUCUCGAAAAGGAUGAAGAAGAACAAACUGAUCUCGAAGGGCCUGCAGAACCUACCCCUCCUAUGACAGCAAGGUCUUUGAAAGCAAAGGGGAAGAAAUCAAGCGCCUCGAAGAGGCAAAAGAAUUUCAGCAAGGCUGAAGAUUUAACUUUGGUGGAUGCAUACCUUGAGAUAACUCAAGAUCCAAUCAUAGGAGUCGACCAAUCUCGUGAUUGUUAUUGGAAAAGAAUCGAUGCUUAUUUCCAUGCCAAUAAAUCUGAAGACCAUGGUCGCACACAAGGUUCUCUUCAGCAUCGUUGGGCUAUUAUUCAAGAACAAGUGAAUAGAUUUUGUGCAUAUUAUAGUCAGGUCCUGAAUAGGAACCAAAGUGGGAUGACACGUGAAAAUAAGUUGUCCCCAAGAAAAGGCCACCUGGAAUCAAGAGGGCUAAAGAUGCAGCAUGGCGGGCUCAAAGUUCUUCCAUUACAGAGAGAAGAAGAUAGGUUGGUAGAAGAAAGAAAGAAACUUGCAAUACAAGAAAAAAAGAUGGAAUUAGAAGAAGAAAAGAUACGAAUCAUGAGAAUGGCGGAAGAACGCAUGAUGGGGGCUGAAGAAAGCAAAAUAAUGAGCAUGGACCUUAGUGGCAUGGAUGAGCAAGAACAAGAAUUCUACAAAUUAAGGAAGAGCCAGAUCAUCAACCGACAUCGUAACUCGUCGGCUUGA